Molecule: long non-coding RNA, 347 nt
Organism: Varroa destructor (honeybee mite)
Lineage: Eukaryota; Metazoa; Arthropoda; Arachnida; Mesostigmata; Varroidae
Source: RefSeq, a predicted model, not a curated record
GACGCGUUCUGUAUAAUGUGAGUUAUCGACUGAAUCGAAAUCGGCCAGUCAAGAUGAUACCUUUAGCUCUCUUUUGAGCAAUAGUCCUAGCCCGUCUUUCCAGCACAAGUUGAUUCCGGAUAUAUCUGCAGUGUCAAUGACGGCUCCAUAGGUAACAGCGGUCCAAUAAACGGAACCGAGCACAACUCCGGCGGCCAGAAAUGGAGAUGCCCGAUACAACAGCCGAUCCACCAAAUCGAGGACGUACACAAAUGUGCCUGUUCGAACGGGAAGAAUAUUAGGUACUCGGUGUUGCACUGAGGACAGCUGACUCGCUGGCUCUGAUUGCCGCGCUGCUUCUCGUCUAU